UCUAGAGCUAUUUGAUCAAGAAAUUAUUUUCUGAAGUUUUAAAUUUUGUUCAUCAUGAGGCAGAACUUGUCAAAGAAGAAAGGACAAAAGAGUUAGGUAGAGGGUCUUACGCACAUAUUACACGGUUUCAGACAAAACAGUUAGGUUAAAAGAGAUAGACGGCUUUGGUAUAAGCUGAUGACAAGUUUUGGAUGAUGUGAGAAUGGUGAACACACUUAGAAAAGAAUGGUACAAGGAAGGAGGCAGAGCAAGAGAAAUAGUCCCUACCAUCUCUGUUUGUUUUUGUCUUACUAUCUUUCAAAAGCUUUAAUGAAUGUUCUUAAGAUCCCUACAAAAAGAGAGAGAGAUGAGGAGACAGAGUUAAUGGCGGUUGGAGACAGAAGAGAGAAGAGAGAGUC
This 398-nucleotide long non-coding RNA is filed under the name Capsella grandiflora. Its description in RNAcentral is "long non-coding RNA (CGRA_LNC000294)". The record is from RNAcentral. Lineage: Eukaryota; Viridiplantae; Streptophyta; Magnoliopsida; Brassicales; Brassicaceae.